RNAcentral lists this ribosomal RNA (329 nucleotides) under uncultured eukaryote. Its description in RNAcentral is "partial 18S ribosomal RNA". It matches the Rfam family "Eukaryotic small subunit ribosomal RNA", at positions 1470 to 1796 of the family's 1831-position model. The record is from RNAcentral.
CCCUUAGAUGUUCUGGGCCGCACGCGCGCUACACUGAUGCAUUCAACGAGUCUAAAACCUGCUCUGAUAGGGGUGGGUAAUCUUUUGAAUGUGCAUCGUGAUUGGGAUAGAUGAUUGCAAUUUUUCAUCUUCAACGAGGAAUGCCUAGUAAACGCAAGUCAUCAGCUUGCAUUGAUUACGUCCCUGCCCUUUGUACACACCGCCCGUCGCUCCUGCCGAUUGAAUGAUCCGAUGAAUAUCAUGGAUUGAGGAUGCAAGUAGGUUCGCCUAUCUUCAUCUUCGAGAAGUGAAGUAAAUCUUAUCAUUUAGAGGAAGGAGAAGUCGUAACA